This 82-nucleotide transfer RNA is filed under the name Mycobacteroides chelonae. RNAcentral describes it as "(Mycobacterium chelonae corrig. Bergey et al. 1923 (Approved Lists 1980) emend. Kim et al. 2017) tRNA-Ser". Lineage: Bacteria; Bacillati; Actinomycetota; Actinomycetes; Mycobacteriales; Mycobacteriaceae. The record is from RNAcentral.
AGCGACCUGGGCAAACGCCCAUGCACUCGCCUUGAAAGCGAGAGACGGCUAACACCGUCCGGGGGUUCAAAUCCCUCCGCCA